UACGUAGGUCCCGAGCGUUGUCCGGAUUUAUUGGGCAUAAAGCGAGCGCAGGUGGUUUAUUAAGUCUGGCGUAAAAGGCAGUGGCUCAACCAUUGUAUGCAUUGGAAACUGGUAGACUUGAGUGCAGGAGAGGAGAGUGGAAUUCCAUGUGUAGCGGUGAAAUGCGUAGAUAUAUGGAGGAACACCGGUGGCGAAAGCGGCUCUCUGGCCUGUAACUGACACUGAGGCUCGAAAGCGUGGGGAGCAAACAGG
RNAcentral lists this ribosomal RNA (252 nucleotides) under uncultured bacterium. Its description in RNAcentral is "partial 16S ribosomal RNA". It matches the Rfam family "Bacterial small subunit ribosomal RNA", at positions 524 to 776 of the family's 1533-position model. The record is from RNAcentral.